RNAcentral lists this unclassified non-coding RNA (201 nucleotides) under uncultured Entoloma. RNAcentral describes it as "sequence contains ITS2". The record is from RNAcentral. Lineage: Eukaryota; Fungi; Basidiomycota; Agaricomycetes; Agaricales; Entolomataceae.
AAUUCUCAACCUAUCUUGUUUUCUAACUGGUUAGGCUUGGAUCAUGGAAGUUGCUGGCUCAAUUAGAAUCAGCUCUUCUCAAAUGUAUUAGCAGAGACUUUUGCUGACCAUCAUUGGUAUGAUAAUUAUCUAUAUCAUUGGUAACCAGUUCCCUUUCAUAGGGAAGUCUUGCUUCUAAUAGUCGUUUCGACAACUUGACAC